This 416-nucleotide ribosomal RNA is filed under the name Chrysolina rufoaenea. RNAcentral's name for it is "partial 16S large subunit ribosomal RNA". Lineage: Eukaryota; Metazoa; Arthropoda; Insecta; Coleoptera; Chrysomelidae. The record is from RNAcentral.
GGCCUUUGGCGUAGAAUGUAAGGUCUGACCUGCCCACUGAAAUUUUAAAUGGCCGUGGUAUUUUGACCGUGCUAAGGUAGCAUAAUCAUUAGUUUUUUAAUUAAAAACUGGAAUGAAGGGUUGGAUAAGAAAAUGACUGUCUCUAUUUAAUUUAAUUAGAAUUUUAUUUUUAAGUUAAAAAGCUUAAAUAAAUUUAAAAGACGAGAAGACCCUAUAGAGUUUUAUUAAUAAAUAAAAAAUAUAUUUUAGUAUUAAUUUAUUUUGUUUAUUUAUUAAUUUAAUUGGGGUGAUUGAAAAAUUUAAUUAACUUUUUUUAUUUAAUAACAUUAAUUCUAUGAAUUAAUGAUCCAAUAUUUUUGAUUAUAAGAUAAAAUUACCUUAGGGAUAACAGCGUAAUUUUUUUAGAAAGUUCAUAU